This 443-nucleotide ribosomal RNA is filed under the name uncultured bacterium. RNAcentral's name for it is "partial 16S ribosomal RNA". It matches the Rfam family "Bacterial small subunit ribosomal RNA", at positions 338 to 795 of the family's 1533-position model. The record is from RNAcentral.
CCUACGGGAGGCAGCAGUGGGGAAUAUUGGGCAAUGGGCGCAAGCCUGACCCAGCAACGCCGCGUGAAGGAAGAAGGCUUUCGGGUUGUAAACUUCUUUUGUCAGGGACGAAGCAAGAGACUGUACCUGACGAAUAAGCCACGGCUAACUACGUGCCAGCAGCCGCGGUAAUACGUAGGGGGCAAGCGUUAUCCGGAUUCACUGGGUGUAAAGGGCGUGUAGGCGGGACUGCAAGUCAGAUGUGAAAACCACGGGCUCAACCUGUGGCCUGCAUUUGAAACUGUAGUUCUUGAGUACUGGAGAGGCAGACGGAAUUCGUAGUGUAGCGGUGAAAUGCGUAGAUAUUAGGAGGAACACCAGUGGCGAAGGCGGUCUGCUGGACAGGAACUGACGCUGAGGCGCGAAAGCGUGGGGAGCAAACAGGAUUAGAUACCCCUGUAGUC